This 253-nucleotide ribosomal RNA is filed under the name uncultured bacterium. RNAcentral's name for it is "partial 16S ribosomal RNA". It matches the Rfam family "Bacterial small subunit ribosomal RNA", at positions 524 to 776 of the family's 1533-position model. The record is from RNAcentral.
UACGAAGGGGGCUAGCGUUGUUCGGAAUUACUGGGCGUAAAGCGCACGUAGGCGGAUAUUUAAGUCAGGGGUGAAAUCCCGGGGCUCAACUCCAGAACUGCCUUUGAUACUGAAGAUCUUGAGUCCGGGAGAGGUGAGUGGAACUGCGAGUGUAGAGGUGAAAUUCGUAGAUAUUCGCAAGAACACCAGUGGCGAAGGCGGGUCUCUGGGCAGUAACUGACGCUGAGGAGCGAAAGCGUGGGGAGCGAACAGG